RNAcentral lists this ribosomal RNA (360 nucleotides) under uncultured Sedimentibacter sp. Its description in RNAcentral is "bacterial SSU rRNA". It matches the Rfam family "Bacterial small subunit ribosomal RNA", at positions 1021 to 1381 of the family's 1533-position model. The record is from RNAcentral. Lineage: Bacteria; Bacillati; Bacillota; Tissierellia.
GGGGGACAGGGUGACAGGUGGUGCAUGGUUGUCGUCAGCUCGUGUCGUGAGAUGUUGGGUUAAGUCCCGCAACGAGCGCAACCCUCGACCUUAGUUGCCAGCAUUCAGUUGGGCACUCUAAGGUGACUGCCGGCUAAAAGGUCGGAGGAAGGUGGGAUGACGUCAAAUCAUCAUGGCCUUUAUAUCCUGGGCUACACACACGCUACAAUGGCCAACACAAUAGGUUGCUAAGCCGCGAGGUGGCGCCAAUCCAUAAAGUUGGUCUCAGUUCAGAUUGUAGGCUGCAACCCGCCUGCAUGAAGAUGGAGUUGCUAGUAACCGCAGGUCAGCUAUACUGCGGUGAAUACGGUUCCCGGGCUU